This 896-nucleotide ribosomal RNA is filed under the name uncultured bacterium. RNAcentral's name for it is "bacterial SSU rRNA". It matches the Rfam family "Bacterial small subunit ribosomal RNA", at positions 8 to 907 of the family's 1533-position model. The record is from RNAcentral.
AGAGUUUGAUCCUGGCUCAGGAUGAACGCUGGCGGCGUGCUUAACACAUGCAAGUCGAACGAAGCACCUUGAUUUGAUUCUUCGGAUGAAGAUCCUGGUGACUGAGUGGCGGACGGGUGAGUAACGCGUGGGUAACCUGCCUCAUACAGGGGGAUAACAGUUAGAAAUGACUGCUAAUACCGCAUAAGACCACAGCACCGCAUGGUGCAGGGGUAAAAACUCCGGUGGUAUGAGAUGGACCCGCGUCUGAUUAGGUAGUUGGUGGGGUAACGGCCUACCAAGCCGACGAUCAGUAGCCGACCUGAGAGGGUGACCGGCCACAUUGGGACUGAGACACGGCCCAAACUCCUACGGGAGGCAGCAGUGGGGAAUAUUGCACAAUGGGGGAAACCCUGAUGCAGCGACGCCGCGUGAGCGAUGAAGUAUUUCGGUAUGUAAAGCUCUAUCAGCAGGGAAGAAAAUGACGGUACCUGACUAAGAAGCACCGGCUAAAUACGUGCCAGCAGCCGCGGUAAUACGUAUGGUGCAAGCGUUAUCCGGAUUUACUGGGUGUAAAGGGAGCGUAGACGGAGUGGCAAGUCUGAUGUGAAAACCCGGGGCUCAACCCCGGGACUGCAUUGGAAACUGUCAAUCUAGAGUACCGGAGAGGUAAGCGGAAUUCCUAGUGUAGCGGUGAAAUGCGUAGAUAUUAGGAGGAACACCAGUGGCGAAGGCGGCUUACUGGACGGUAACUGACGUUGAGGCUCGAAAGCGUGGGGAGCAAACAGGAUUAGAUACCCUGGUAGUCCGCACGGUAAACGAUGGAUGCCCGCUGUUGGUCUGAAUAGGUCAGCGGCCAAGCGAAAGCAUUAAGCAUCCCACCUGGGGAGUACGCCGGCAACGGUGAAACUCAAAGG